CAGCAAUGAUUACUUAAACCCUGUCUGUAAGCAUGUGUGUGUGAUGUUCAGGAGUGUGGCUGAGACAUAAGGUGCCCUGCCGUGAGCUGAUGCCCAAACAGCGGAGACCUCCUCUGCUUCUAGGGCGCUCACACUCUAGAAAAGGACAGAAGGCGCGUACACACUGACUAAUAUUGGGAGGGAUGUGCAAAGUGGCCCUAAGAACAUCUGUGUCUGUCAACUUCUUCCAAUAGAUGAUAACCAGUGUUAUCAUGAACCAGAUUCCCCUGGCUCACGUACCCUAGUGCUCUGUGUCAAGUCUAAACUCUUCAGUGUAAUUCACCUCCUUCCUUCUUCCCUCUUUACCUCUCACUCUCCCCUGGUCCUUCAAGACUAUGACCCUCCAUUUUAGCUAAGUACGCCUGGUUGGUUCUUUAUCGAAUCUUCUCUCUACCCUUUUAUUUACAUGAUCACUAACAGUCUUCCAACUUAAUGGCUUUUUUUUUUACACAGAUAACUACAUUUUUAACAAAGUCAAAAUUGAAAUAAAAGUGUAUUAUGUGGAAGAAUUUCUUGCAAGGAUCCAAAGCAGGCUGUAUACCCUGACAGCAGAGAGCCUGAUGUGGGGCUUGAACCCAGGCCAUGAGAUCAUGACGUGAGUGGAAAUCAGAUGCUUAACCAACUGAGCCACUCAGGUACACCAAUAACAAAUUACUUUCAUGGAAAAUAUAUGGCCAAUAGGGGUCCAGACAUUGCAUUAUAGUUCACUAGGGCUGGAAUAAACUAUAGUGAUCAUUAUGUCCUACUUCACGGCCAAAAAAACUGGGGAUGUUUUAAUAAAAUGACCUCUUCCUUUUGCA
Long non-coding RNA from Acinonyx jubatus (cheetah), 839 nucleotides. RefSeq lists it as uncharacterized. The transcript is spliced from 2 exons. Lineage: Eukaryota; Metazoa; Chordata; Mammalia; Carnivora; Felidae. The record is from RefSeq and is a predicted model, not a curated record.